AAUCAGCUAAAAAAGAUCCUAUUGAGCAUGACUGUAGUCUGCCACAGUAAAGAGGUAUGAGAGGUGCAGAAGAAGUCGGAGACCCCUAGUGGUACCUGCCCCUACCUUACCUCCCUCCUAUAUCAUGGGAGGGAGGUAAAGGGUAACAUGGAUGUCCUAAGAAAAGCUCAGGGAAGACAAAACUCCACUGCAGCAUAAGGGGGAAAAGUCACUUUAUCUUGAUUUUCAGUAUAAACACAAACUCUGAAGGUGGCCCCCAAUCUUUCUGACCUUUUUUGGUUUUAAGCAGGGGGUGUCAGAAAAGGUGUGAUUGGCUUUGUGCAACCAAGCAUUCACUGAAGCCCACUUUUUGGUCCUUUCUGUCAGUUCAUCAUAUCUUUAUUGGGGAUAAUUUACUUAUCAUUGGAUUGUUCCCUCACUAAUACAGUCAGCUUUAGAACUCCGUAAGAUAGGUUUUACUACACUAAUG
RNAcentral lists this non-coding RNA (469 nucleotides) under Otolemur garnettii (small-eared galago). Lineage: Eukaryota; Metazoa; Chordata; Mammalia; Primates; Galagidae. The record is from Rfam by way of RNAcentral.